RNAcentral lists this ribosomal RNA (490 nucleotides) under uncultured bacterium. Its description in RNAcentral is "partial 16S ribosomal RNA". It matches the Rfam family "Bacterial small subunit ribosomal RNA", at positions 29 to 506 of the family's 1533-position model. The record is from RNAcentral.
UUGAACGCUGGCGGCAUGCUUUACACAUGCAAGUCGAACGGUAACAGGCCUUCGGGUGCUGACGAGUGGCGAACGGGUGAGUAAUGCAUCGGAACGUACCCAGAGGUGGGGGAUAACGCAGCGAAAGCUGUGCUAAUACCGCAUGUGAUCUGAGGAUGAAAGCGGGGGACCGAGCAGCAAUGUUUGGCCUCGCGCCUUUGGAGCGGCCGAUGUCGGAUUAGCUAGUUGGUGGGGUAAAGGCCUACCAAGGCGACGAUCCGUAGCUGGUCUGAGAGGACGACCAGCCACACUGGGACUGAGACACGGCCCAGACUCCUACGGGAGGCAGCAGUGGGGAAUUUUGGACAAUGGGCGCAAGCCUGAUCCAGCAAUGCCGCGUGCGGGAAGAAGGCCUUCGGGUUGUAAACCGCUUUUGGCAGGAACGAAACGGUGUCCGCUAAUACCGGGCGCUAAUGACGGUACCUGCAGAAUAAGCACCGGCUAACUACGU